RNAcentral lists this ribosomal RNA (528 nucleotides) under Sinosuthora webbiana webbiana. RNAcentral's name for it is "Paradoxornis webbianus webbianus partial 16S ribosomal RNA". It matches the Rfam family "Bacterial large subunit ribosomal RNA", at positions 1843 to 2576 of the family's 2925-position model. Lineage: Eukaryota; Metazoa; Chordata; Aves; Passeriformes; Sylviidae. The record is from RNAcentral. RNAcentral also lists the same sequence under 1 other name.
GUAUUGAAGGUGAUGCCUGCCCGGUGACGUGGUGUUAAACGGCUGCGGUAUCCUAACCGUGCGAAGGUAGCGCAAUCAAUUGUCCCGUAAAUCGGGACUAGUAUGAAUGGCUAAACGAGGUUCUAACUGUCUCUUACAGGCGAUCGGUGAAAUUGAUCUCCCUGUGCAAAAGCAGGGAUAAACCCAUAAGACGAGAAGACCCUGUGGAACUUUAAAAUCAGCAGCCACCCCUAAUUACAUACUCCCCCAACUCGGGCUCACUUACUACACGGGCUAUUGGCUUGCAAUUUUUCGGUUGGGGCGACCUUGGAGCAAAACAAAACCUCCAAAAAUUGGACCAUACAUCCAGACUAAGAGCAACCUCUCAACGUGCGAAUAGCAACCAGAUCCAAUAAAAUUGAUCAAUGGACCAAGCUACCCCAGGGAUAACAGCGCAAUCUCCUCCGAGAGUCCAUAUCGACGGGGAGGUUUACGACCUCGAUGUUGGAUCAGGACAUCCUAGUGGUGCAGCAGCUACUAAGGGUUCGU